Molecule: ribosomal RNA, 347 nt
Filed under: uncultured bacterium
Lineage: Bacteria
Description: bacterial SSU rRNA
Rfam family: Bacterial small subunit ribosomal RNA
Source: RNAcentral
AUUGAACGCUGGCGGCAUGCCUUACACAUGCAAGUCGAACGGCAGCACGGGAGCAAUCCUGGUGGCGAGUGGCGAACGGGUGAGUAAUACAUCGGAACGUGUCCGGUUGUGGGGGAUAGCCCGGCGAAAGCCGGAUUAAUACCGCAUACGACCUGCGGGUGAAAGCGGGGAUCGCAAGACCUUGCGCUAUCCGGAGCGGCCGAUGUCAGAUUAGCUAGNGGUGGGUAAAAGCCCACCAAGGCGACGAUCUGUAGCUGGUCUGAGAGGGCGACCAGCCACACUGGGACUGAGACACGGCCCCAGACUCCUACGGGAGGCAGCAGUGGGGAAUUUUGGACAAUGGGCGC